ACACUGACAUUAACUUGGAGAAGCACAGCAACGGAAGCCUUACUCGAACAAAGGACUCCGAGAGGCCAGACCCAUCACACACACUUCCUGUGGACUGCAUUUCAAUUGAGGACAGAUUGAAUCAUGUGUUCUGGAGGUUUUGCCAAAUGCCUGGGGAUCACCCUCAUCCCUCUGGCCAUCAUCUGUAUCCUCUGCAACAUUCUGCUCUUUUUCCCUGGAGGUGAAGUGGCCGAUAAGAGUGAUAACAUCACAGAAGAAGUCUUUUACUUAGGAGGAAUUCUGGGAUCUGGUGUGCUGAUGAUUUUCCCUGCACUGGUUUUCCUGGGUUUGAAGAACAAUGACUGCUGUGGUUGCUGUGGGAAUGAAAGCUGCGGAAAACGAUUUGCGAUGUUUAGUUCCAUUCUGUUUGCCGCGGCUGGAGCUGUUGGUGCUGGUUACUCUGUUAUUGUGUCUUGUGUGGCCAUUAAUCACGGACCUAAAUGUAUUACAGAUCAAUUUAACUCUAACUACACAUACCCAUUUGAGAAUGGAAACUAUCUGUCCAACCGCACACUGUGGAAUGAAUGUUUGGAGCCAUCCGGUAUAAUCACAUGGCAUCUGACCCUGUUUUGCAUCCUGCUGAUCGCUGGUCUGGUCCAGAUCGGUCUGUGUGCCUUCCAGGUGAUCAACGGACUUAUCGGCACUAUCUGUGGAGACUGCUGUGGAUGCUGUGGGGACUCCAAUUAAACUACACUGAAUGGACUCCGAUCAUGAGAAUGAUUCUUCAGCAAAAAUCAAACAACAAAAUCUAAUUUUCUCUCAAGGAAAAACAGGAAACAGCCUGAAGGGGAAGCAAUGUAAAAAAAAAAAAAUACUCUAGUAAUUUAUUUCCAGGUUAUAAAGAAAAGGCUUUGUGUAAAUGUUUGUUGUUCUGCCUUGUGAUGUUGAUGUGUUAUCAGGGUUUUUAUGAGGGGAAUGUUGUUUUAUGAUGCGUUUACAGGUAAUAGCUCACAUCUUCACACAGAAAUGAUUAACUUUAUGCCUCUGUGACCCAUGUGACUGAUACUUUGACAAAAACUUUCCCCCAAUACUUUUAUCAGGUUUAUUGUGGUAUAAACUAAAGAUGUUAUUGUUAUAUGAUAAAUAAUUCAAUAUAAACUGAUUGCAACAGAAACUUUUCACGUUAUAGACCUGUAGUCAG
Myxocyprinus asiaticus (Chinese sucker) is the source of this 1180-nucleotide RNA transcript. It is a transcript of the gene named transmembrane 4 L6 family member 4-like, with no coding region annotated. The record is from RefSeq and is a predicted model, not a curated record. The transcript is spliced from 6 exons. NCBI's taxonomy places the organism in Eukaryota, Metazoa, Chordata, Actinopteri, Cypriniformes, Catostomidae.